This 48-nucleotide non-coding RNA is filed under the name Schistosoma mansoni. Lineage: Eukaryota; Metazoa; Platyhelminthes; Trematoda; Strigeidida; Schistosomatidae. The record is from RNAcentral.
AUCCAGCUGACGAGCCCCAAAUAGAACGAAUUAGUACCCGUCCUGGAU